This 468-nucleotide ribosomal RNA is filed under the name uncultured bacterium. RNAcentral's name for it is "partial 16S ribosomal RNA". It matches the Rfam family "Bacterial small subunit ribosomal RNA", at positions 28 to 507 of the family's 1533-position model. The record is from RNAcentral.
GACGAACGCUGGCGGCGUGCUUAACACAUGCAAGUCGAACGGAAAGGCGCUGCUUUUGUGGGGUGCUCGAGUGGCGCACGGGUGAGUAACACGUGAGUAACCUGCCCUUGUCUUUGGGAUAACUUCAGGAAACUGGGGCUAAUACCGGAUAGGAGCUCCUGCUGCAUGGUGGGGGUUGGAAAGUUUCGGCGGUUGGGGAUGGACUCGCGGCUUAUCAGCUGGUUGGUGGGGUAGUGGCUUACCAAGGCUUUGACGGGUAGCCGGCCUGAGAGGGUGACCGGCCACAUUGGGACUGAGAUACGGCCCAGACUCCUACGGGAGGCAGCAGUGGGGAAUAUGGCACAAUGGGCGGAAGCCUGAUGCAGCAACGCCGCGUGCGGGAUGACGGCCUUCGGGUUGUAAACCGCUUUCGCCUGUGACGAAGCGUGAGUGACGGUAAUGGGUAAAGAAGCACCGGCUAACUACGUG